RNAcentral lists this ribosomal RNA (340 nucleotides) under Pheidole sp. 8 RA0538. Its description in RNAcentral is "partial 12S ribosomal RNA". The record is from RNAcentral. Lineage: Eukaryota; Metazoa; Arthropoda; Insecta; Hymenoptera; Formicidae.
UUAUAAAUAAAAUUAAUUAAUAAAAAAUUAAAUGAAAGCAUUAAAUUUAAAGAAUUUGGCGGUAUUUUAAAUAGUUAAAGGAAUUUGUUAAGUAAAUGAUACUCCACGAUUGGAAAGUCCUGAUUUAGUUUUUAUGUAUUGUUGUAAAAAAAUUAUUUUAUAAGAAUAAUAAUUAAAGUAUUUAAUUUAAUUAAAAUAUAAAUCAAAAUGUAGAAUUAUUAGGAAAAUAUGAAUUACAAUUUAAUUUAAUAUUGGAAUUAUUUUUUUAAUUAAAAUAAUGAAAUAGGAUCUAAAAGUAAAUUUAAAUAAAUUUUUAAAUUGAAAGAUUAAUUAAAAUAUG